UCCUGGGUUCAGGUGAUUCUCCUGCCUCAGU
Molecule: non-coding RNA, 31 nt
Filed under: Homo sapiens (human)
Lineage: Eukaryota; Metazoa; Chordata; Mammalia; Primates; Hominidae
Source: RNAcentral